This 1574-nucleotide long non-coding RNA is filed under the name Mytilus galloprovincialis (Mediterranean mussel). The record is from RNAcentral. Lineage: Eukaryota; Metazoa; Mollusca; Bivalvia; Mytilida; Mytilidae.
CUUUUAUUAUUAAAAUUAUAAAAAUGACAAAGAAGCAACAAAAUAAAAAAACAUGUAUAAUUAAAUAAUCAGUGAAUCAUAUUUAUAAACAACAUAUAUGUUUAUAAUGACAAAACCCUAUUGAUUUAUUCCAUCAAAGAUGAGAUUACAUUCGCCUAUCAAAAAUAGGGUUACAUUCGACCAUCAAAGGUGGGUUUACAUUCGAAUAUAAUAUAGACAUCUUUUAUAACCAAGUAAAAAUAUGAAUAGAAGAUCCAAAGGAUGCCUUACCUUAUUGAGUUGGUUAUGCAAAUGAAGGAAAGAAGCUCAACAAAUGAGGGAACAAGUAAAUGAGAGGGGAAAAAGCUAAAGAAGAUGACAGGAAACAAGAAAACAUAAUAUGAACCAGAAAAAAAAACUCUUGUAGAGAACAAAAUUAUUACAAUGCUAGGGACGAAAGAUUAAUGUUUGAUUUUAAUAAAAUAAUAUAACAAGGAACGUUGUAACAACAUAGAGACAUUGACAUUUGAUUACCGAUAUUCUUUUUAUACAUUUAUUUAAAAUUUUGAUAAAAUUGAGAAGGGAAAUGGGGAAUGUGUCAAAGAGACAACAACUCCACCAUAGAACAGAUAAAAGCAGAAGGUCACCAAUAGAUCUUCAAUACAGCGAGAAACUCCCGCAUCCGGAGGCGUGCUUCAGCUGGCCCCUAAACAAAUAUCUAUACUAGUUCAGUGACACUGGACGUCAUACUGAACUCGAAAUUAUACAUGUUAUACACUAGAAACUAAAAUAAAAAAUCAUACAAGACUAACAAAGGCCAGAGGCUCCUGACUUGAGAAGGCGCAAAAAUGCUGCGGGGUUAAACAUGUUUUUUGAUAUCUGAACCCUCCCCCUAUAUCUCUACUAAAUGUAGAAAAGUAAACGCAUAACAAUACGCACAGUAAAAUUCAGGUUAAGAGAAGUCCGAGUCCGAUGUCAGAAGAGGUUACAGAAGAAAAUAAACAAAAUGACAAUAAUACAUAAAUAACAACAGACGACUAGCAGUUACUGACAUGCCAGCUCCAGACCUCAAUUAAACUGAUUGAAAAUUAUGUCUUCAUUAUAUAAAUAUCAGGCACAAUCCCUCCAGUUAGGGGUUUAGUAUUAUACCAUCAUAAAAUAUAUGAGAAGAACAUAACCCGUGUCAUGCCAACAACUGGUUUUUAAAUAAAUGUGUUAAAUUCCAAUGCAAAGACUCUAUAAGUGAAUCAAUAUUAAAGGUUUUGUUAGCUUCUGAGGUGAAAACUUUUGUACUUUGUAAAGAAAAUUACCAUAAAAGAUUGAAUAUGAAAUACCUGAACGUAUAAGAAGUAUACAUGUUGACUUAUAUUUACGAAUGAUGUCCUUGUACCGAUGAUAAAAUUUAAUUAGUAAAUGUUUUGACUAGUUUGUGAUAUCGAAAACCCUGGUGUAACAAUUUUUCAGUAAUACAUAAAUUUCUCUCGCUAAAAUCUAAAACGUUGUUACAUACACGAGCGAAUCGUACAAGUUGAGAUAUAUAAACACCGUAAGAUGAUGACAAUGGAACGUCACCAUCUAAAAAUGGAUAAUUAACG